This 9744-nucleotide long non-coding RNA is filed under the name Ricinus communis (castor bean). RNAcentral describes it as "long non-coding RNA (RCOM_LNC001724)". The record is from RNAcentral. Lineage: Eukaryota; Viridiplantae; Streptophyta; Magnoliopsida; Malpighiales; Euphorbiaceae.
UUCUCCUAUUGGAUCAGGUAGUCCUGUCAGGCACAAUGAAAGAAACAUGCGCUUUACUGCUGGGAUGAGGAAUUUUUCUGGUGGUGUCAUGGGAUCUUGGCACUCAGAAACUGGUGGUAACCUUGGCGAGGAUUUUCCUUCCUCUUUGCUAGAUGAGUUCAAAAGCAAUAAAACUAAAUGUUUUGAACUCUCAGAAAUUGCGGGUCAUGUUGUCGAGUUCAGGUAUACCCCACCUUGUCCCUCUUGUCUUUUAUCUUGGGCAUCGAGGAAUUUAAUUCUUGUAUUGUUCCAUUCCUUUAACGAACAGUGCCGAUCAGUAUGGGAGUCGAUUCAUUCAGCAGAAACUUGAAACUGCUACCACAGAAGAGAAAAACAUGGUCUUCAAUGAAAUUAUGCCGCAAGCCCUUUCGUUAAUGACAGAUGUUUUUGGUAAUUAUGUUAUUCAAAAGGUAUUUCUUAUUAUGAAACUCAAUUUUCCUAUGAUUUUCUUGUUGAAUCUUUACUUUUAGUAUGUUUGUAUGCCCAAAUGCGCUGGAGUUCAUAAAUGUGCGGAAGCAGAAAAAUCACUUAAGCAUUGUUCUGUCUUCAGUUUUUGAGCAUGGAUCUGCUGCCCAAAUCAGAGAACUGGCUGACCAGCUAAUUGGCCAUGUCUUGACUCUUAGCCUGCAAAUGUACGGUUGUCGGGUGAUCCAGAAGGUAAGUUUACUUAGAGACCCCUCUGCAAUACUUGCAUUUUAACAGGGUUUUAAUUCUAAAAUGGUGCUGUUCACUUUUGUGGAUCUAUCUAUUAGCAUGUGUUGGAUGCACUUGGCAGGGCCUCUCAAUAAUGCAUCAUGGUCAGGUUUUUCAAUAAUGCUCACCCGCCUGAUUUGAGGGGUCCAGUUGUCCCUCAAAUUUAUCUUACUGAGACAGGGGAAUCAUCUAAAAGCUGGUCCCAAGGAAUAAUGAAUAAUAAUCACUUAUGAAAGAUUCUAAAUCAUCCUGCAGAAUUUUGGAUUCAUUCCCACUGUAAAACUUUUGAAGUAAUUAGUUUUGAGUAAAUUUCCCUUAGCCAGCCAAAAUUAUGGGUUUCUGUUGCACCUCUUGAAUUUUGGAUAUUCUCAGUUCUGACCUGGACCAUUCACCUUAUUGGUGGACAUCAGAUAUUUUGAAAUUUCUCGAAAACCACAGGAUAUUGAAUUUUAAUUCUCUAACCCCCUUUAUUUUUAGCUUGUUAAAUAUAGCUUAUCAAGUUAUUUGUUUUCUUUUAGGAAAAUAUCUGUUUAUGCACCUGCUUGUCUAAUAUAUUUAAUUAUUAAAACCCAACUUUUAGAUUUAAUGAUCUUUGAUCUUGAUAACCAGGCCAUAGAAGUGGUUGAGCUGGACCAACAGACUAAAAUGGUGUCAGAGCUUGAUGGCCAUAUCAUGCGAUGUGUGCGUGAUCAGAAUGGGAACCAUGUCAUUCAGAAGUGUAUUGAAUGUGUACCUGAAGAUGCUAUACAGUUUAUUGUCUCAACGUUUUAUGAUCAAGUUGUGACACUGUCCACUCAUCCAUAUGGCUGUCGAGUCAUACAGGUCUAUAUAAUGUGUUUCUUCACUUACACAUAUGUAAACAUACAUUUACAUGUGCAGACAUAUUUGUACAUGCUAAUAUAUGCAUGUAUGUAUCUAUAUCUAUUUUGUAAAGAUCCAGUUGCUAUGAUUCUAACUUGAUAUAAAUUCUGCCAGAGAGUCCUGGAGCACUGCCAUGAUGCAAAAACCCAGCGUAUUAUGAUGGAUGAGAUUUUGCAAUCUGUCCUUAUGUUGGCACAAGAUCAGUAUGGGAAUUAUGUUGUACAGGUUUGUGCUAUGAUGUUCGCAUAUAAAUAAUACUGCAUUUAACUAUUCUCGAGGGAUUGUUUAUAUGAUAUUGGGUACUGGUUGGUGGCAGUAAAUAUGUUGGUAAAUUUGUUUCAAGUUUGGAAAAACAUCAGCAGUGUACAAACAAGGGAAACUCAUUUUUUGAGAGUAUCUAAGGAUUUUGUACCUUAACUCGUUAUCUCAUUGCAUUUUUUUUUUCUUGGUGAGAAUUCAUUUCUUAAUGCCUUAUUCUUUAAUGGGCAACGUCAUGAGCGUUUAUUGUUUUGCCGAUUAUCUAACUGAGCUGCUCUACUUGAAUGCAUAAUAUUUCAGCAUGUGUUGGAGCACGGAAAACCUCAUGAACGUUCAUCAAUAAUAAAGAAAUUAACUGGACAGAUAGUUCAAAUGAGUCAGCAGAAAUUUGCCUCCAAUGUUAUUGAGAAGUGUUUAACAUUUGGUACUGCAGCAGAACGCCAGGCCUUGGUGAAUGAGAUGCUCGGUACUACUGAUGAAAAUGAGCCUCUUCAGGUUUAUAAAAUAAUUCAUUGGCUCCCUACAGUUCAAUAGGCUCCAUUGUGAUUCUAAUGCAAAAUACAUGCAUUAUACUACAUUUGAUUCCUAGACUCUCAUAACAGUUUUACAUGCAUUAUACUACAUUUGAUUCCUAGACUCUCAUAACAGUUUUGCUUAUUUUAUGCUUUUUCUUUAAUACUUUAAUUAGCAGUUGUCUUGGUUUUCAUGCUUAGUAUGUCAUUUAUUUCAGGAUGUGAUGAUUUCUUUUUCUUUUUUUUUGAUUUUGUGUUUGUCGUUGCAUGCAGGUUAUGAUGAAAGAUCAGUUUGCUAAUUACGUUGUACAGAAAGUGCUGGAAACUUGUGAUGACCAGCAACUUGAACUAAUCCUUGACCGAAUAAAGGUUCACUUAAAUGCUUUGAAGAAGUAUACUUAUGGGAAGCAUAUAGUUGCACGUGUAGAGAAACUUGUUGCAGCUGGAGGUAAUUCUAUUUCUUUAUUUUUCCUGCUUUUGUUAAUUUGCUCUGAUCUUUACCUUUUUGUAUUUAAAGGAAAUCAUAUGCACUGUUUUGAUAUGAUGUGUUUUCUUCACCAUGCUCUUUUCGUGGUCAUUGUUUGAUUGUUAAUUUAGGACUGAUGUUCAUUGUUUAUUCCUCGAUGAUCAAUUUUGCCUCAUCAAAUGGGCCAAGGCAAAUGGAAAUGUCAUCUGAAUUUAUGCUUUUGUUAUUGUAAUCAAUUAAUGAGGUUGCAAACAAUUAAGCUUUUCCCAUAUAGGUGCCUUUGUUACCUAUGCAAGCUUUGAUAAUAUUUUAUUAUUGAUAUUUGUUCCCUAUGCAAGCCUGAUAAUAUUUCAUCAUUGAUAUUGAUGACCUUUUCUUAUCUAAAAGAAAACAACUUACUUUGACUUACUUAUGAAAGCUCUUUCGAGUAAGACUUUUUCUUCUCAAUGUUAGGAAACUUUGCAUGGACUGAGGUGUGGAAGACUUUGUUAGUUGCAUAAGUAGUGUGCAGAAACAACUUUUAACUAGUGCUCUUUCUCUUUUUGCAGAGAGGAGGAUCAGCUUCCUUACCCUGCAUACUGCUGCUUAGAUGGCAUAGGAGAAGUUGUACAGCUAAAGAUAGUAUGAGCGCCUCUCUCUCUCUCUCCUCCCCAUCUUUCUUCUUCCUUUUCAUUUCUAGCACUUGCUCUGUCUAUUUAUUUGAAUAGAUAGGAGCUUAAUGGAAAUAAAUUGUCGGUUGUACUUAAAACUGUACAUUGUUAGUUCGAGGAUAUACCUAGAUUCAGGCUAGCUGAGGCUCAGAUGGUGAACAUACUGAUGCCCUUGCAGAGGAGAUAAAAUUUACUGUACAAGUUUUAAGGGUGUAAAAAGGGAGGAGGUAGUGGAUUUGUGAUCGUGACUGUACAAAAUAUUACCAGGCAUGGAUGGCCUUUGUGUUUAGGAGAGUCCGGAAUUUUUGGCAUGUAUGGAUCAUAUAGUUUUCUUAUUUAAAAGAACUUUUUCUCCCCUUUCCUUUGCUGUGGCUUGCUUGAGAAUGUAUCAUCUAUGGGUUGCUUGGUUUACUGUACUUGUUAUUGGUAUUUUACAUGAUUGUUUCUCCAAGUUUAGUUGUUUUAUCCUCGUCUUUUCCGGUGACUAGUUCAGUUGAUUUCAUUUUCACUUAGGACGCAUCUGAAAAUUAACGGCUGCUGUUUUUAUUUUUUGAUACAAAAAUAAUGGCUUUCAUGUGGCAGCACAGUGAACAUUGUGUAUGAUGAUGUUUUAGUUCAGAUUAGCCAAGUUUUGUUCCUUCUAACUUGCACGAUGUUUUAGUUAGAAUAAUCUCUCUUGGGACUGCCCGUUUUCUGAUCUUUGUUCCUAAGGUUCACAUACUGUGGUUAAACUCUUAACUUGUAAUCACAGCUAGAAAUAGAAGGUAACUUUUUGAUGUAAAAAGGGUUUCAAGAAAAGAAAAGGGUUUCAAUUCAAGAAUAGGGUGAGUUUCAACUUUCAAGAAAAGGAAGGAGCUAUCUAUCUUAACUAUUAGUCUUCCUGGUAAUAUAGUUUGAGAAAAAGCAAUCAGACAAUUUGGUUAUGUGGGAGAUCAUAAGGUAAAUAGGGGGCAUAAUGAAAUGUUCACUGCACAAGAAGAAAAUAGUCAUUCCUGUAAAAGAGCAUGUAACCGAGGACUUCUUUCCUCUAAAAUAUAAUUCAACUAGUAUUCAAAGUCAAAAGUGGCAAGAGCAUUACAUGGUUUUGUCUGUGACUUUAUCAGAUAUGAAACCCAGUUAUCAGUUGCCCCUCUUUGGAAAAGGGUUUGUUAAAAAUGAUACUAUUGGCCUGUUAAAACUAACUAUAUAGUAAAGUUCUUGGAAUAUUUUUCUCAUAAACAUGUGGGAUUUGAAAAUUAAUUUUAUUAAUAGAUUUAUAUAUUUGCGUCCUUGACAUUUCUCAUUAAAUCAGAGUGCUUUUUCUGAAGAAAAAAGAAUGAAUUUAUCUAUUAUUUAUUUAAUACACACUUCUUAAGAAAAAAAGAAAAGAAAAAGAAAAACAAUUUUUUUUUGCUUAUGAUGAUGCUCAGCUCUUAAGACUUGUAGGGCUCCUAAAUAUGUUAUCACCUUCUGCGCUCCUAAUUGAUGCUUGAUUUUAGCAUAUUAGAUCACUGUAAGGGAGGGGCAUUCACCAUGUUUCUUCAGGAUUUCUUCAUCUUUGAUACUGCUAUUGUUUGCUACUUGGAACUUUGCUUAACAUUAGCCUUUUCCCCUUAGGGUUUUGUUAAAGUAAAAUCAGUCAUGUGCAUAAAAUUCAAACUUGAUUCUUACUUUGUCGAGACAUCAGUCGCCAUAAACAAAUAUCCAUCAAGCUUCUGAUAAUCUUCAAUGAAGUUUGAUCUGCUUUGAGUUUUGCGUAAGCCUACUACCGUACAACCUUUCAGUUUGCCAUAUUUAUGCGGUUCCCUAAUUGUGUAUUCUUCCUCCAAGAAUUUUGCUUGAAAUUAUUUGUCCUUUUGCAGACACCCCUGCGAAGAAAUUUGCCUUCCUUUCUCCAUCUCUGCUGCUAUCAUAUUCCUUCCAUUGAUAUUAUUCAACUAUGAAAUUUAAUUAAGAGCUUAUGCUUGUAAAAAAUAUAAAAAGAAAUACUCAAGGAAAGUUUAAUAAUCAAUAUUUCCCAAAAUUGGAAAAUAGAAAUUAAUUUCUUUAAUAUCAUGUGUUUAAUUUUUAUUUAUUUGUAUUUAUAUGAACCUGAAAUUUGUUUGAGCUAAAAUUUGCAAAAAAGUUUACCUCCAGAACAUUUGGAAGCGGAAGUAUAGCUUCUAAUUUUAGUUUCCUUGCCAUGGAUAUCAAGAAUUGCAUGUUUAGUUGCAGGGAACUUUUCUAUUUUUAUUUUUAUUGAAAAUUUAUAAAAUAUAUUUACUUGUUAUCAAAAUAAAAAGAGUUUAUUUUUUAUUUGGAUAAUAUUAUAAAUUUAAAAAGUAAACUUAGAAAAUAUUAAGUGAAAAUUUAUUAUUUUCAUUUAAAAUAAAUAACUUUUUAUAUAAAAAGAUAUAGAAAAAAUAUUAAAGUUUAAUUAUAUUUUUAAUUUUUAUCUUAAAAAAAUAAUAUACAUAAACAUAAAAUACUAUUUUUAAUUUUGUUGAAAUUCUUUUUAAAAGUUUGACAUAAUAUAAAUAAACACACCUCAAUUACUUUUUACUCUUUAGGUUGAAUUUCUAAAAAUUGCAAUUUCUUUGAUGGUGGUUUAAGUUUUAGCCAUAGAGAUUUUUUUCCAUUGGGAUAUUCCUCAAGAGUUGUUAUAUCUGAUUAUCUAAGACUGUUGAUAAUGCUUUUUCAUCUUAAUAUAUUAUCAAUUUUAUUCUAAAAGAAAAAGACCUAAAUACAAUUAAAAGAAAAAGUAUUAAAAAAACUAUUAGACUGGCAUUAAUUCACAGGAAAUAAAACCCUAAAGGACCUCUUGUAAGAACAAAUCCUUAUAGAAUCAAUCCCUGCCGUCACUUCACAAAUCCAACGCUCCAGAUCUCCCUAUUGCUAGUGCUUAUCACCCUCCUCUUUUCUCACUUCACUCUCUCUCUACGAGUCUCUGUCUCUAUUUCUCUCUCUAAAAGAAACAUGGCAAAACCCUUUACCAUCAUUUGAUCAUCUUCAACAAACACUUCACUUCUUCAUUCUCAAUCUGAUCUCUCUUUCUAUAUUUAUGACCAAAGUUACCCUCUUUAACUCAAUACCCACAUCUGAACACAUCAUCAACAACUUCGUAAUUUUUUUUGGUUGUGGUUUUUGAGGAUUUUAUGUUUUUGUUUCGUUUUGGGUUAUGUGGGUUUUUGGUUUUGAUCAACAAGAACUACUUGUUUGAACAUAAAAAGCAAAACCCAGUUCAAAUUUAGCUAUUUUUAGCGCUUAAAGUUUGAAACUUUAUUUAUCUACUAAUGAUCACAGAUACAUAUUCAAAGAUUUUACCUGAUAUUUCAAUGCGAUCAAUGCUCAAAAACGAGGAUUUGAGCAAACUAAUUAGAGAGCAAAGGUUACAACAAGAGGCAGUGAGUGAUAGAGAGAAAGAACUUAAUAUUUAUAGAAGCGGGUCUGCACCACCUACAGUAGAAGGUUCUUUAAACUCUAUUGGAGGGUUAUUUAGCGCAACUGAGUUAGCUGGUAUAGCAAAGAGUAAUAGUAAAGGCGGGUUCUUGAGUGAAGAAGAGAUAAGGUCUGAUCCUGCUUAUGUAAAUUAUUACUAUUCUAAUGUUAACUUGAAUCCAAGAUUACCUCCUCCUUUGUUAUCUAAAGAAGAUUGGAGGUUUGCACAAAGAUUACAUGGUGGUGGUGCUGAAGUUAAUUCUGCUGUUGGAGAUAGAAGGAAGGGGAGUAGUAGAGGUGGUGAAAACGAAGGGAAUAGGUCUCUCUUUGCUGUGCAGCCAGGGUUUGGAGGAGGAAACGAAGAGAACGGGAAUGGUGGUGGAGUUGAGUGGGGAGGAGAUGGAUUGAUUGGGUUGCCGGGUUUAGGCCUAGGAAGUAGGCAAAAGAGCAUUGCAGAAAUCUUUCAGGUGGACAACAUGAACUUCUGCUUCCUUUUUGUUGUUGUUUUUUUUUUUUUUUUUGAAACAUUACUUGCUUUCCAUGCGCCGCUUAUUGCAAAUGCUCAGAUUUUUUUUAAUGGAUUGUGGCUGUUAGAUAUUGUGUGUUUUCCAGUAUGAUGAAGGGAUGGUGUUUAUUGCAAAUGGUAUGUGAAAUAUGAUGAUCCUUUUCUUAGCUAUCGUCAAUGUUGUCUGUCAAAAUAUUUUUGUGAAAGUUAGAGUGUAUUUUAUAAUUUGCAGUGUACGUGCAAUAUAUACUGUGAUCUGUAAAUUCUGUUUCUUUUUGGAAGAAUCUAUGUUAGUUUUUAGGUCUGUAGCUUGUAUGCUGUAUUUAGGGUUAGUAAUAUUUUGGUAUUUAUAUUUAAGUCAUUAUUAUUGCUCUAUCAUUUAUCUUUUCUAAGAAUUGAUUGCAACAGCAUUGACUUUGAUAUGAUUAUGAGAAUUAAUUCAUCUUCUUUUCCAUUUUUGGAUGUCUAUUGAUUGCUCUAUGUUGGUGGAUAUGGAUCAUCUCAGUUUGUUUCCUCUCGUUCUUUUAUUUGGCAAUUAUGUCCCUUCUGUUUAGUAAGCAUGUGCCCGUCAUUAUCUUGUACUAAUUAAAGUUGUUAUUUCAAUUGUUUGAUAGUGUUUUGUAAGUGAGGGCCUAUCGAUUUAUCCUUUUGCUUUUUAUUCUGUGUAUCUUGCUUUCUCUUCUCCCUUGUAUGAAUAUAGAUUUUAUGAUUUUGAACAAAAAUACAUAUAUAUGCAAGUUUUUAUCAGUGUUCAUUAAGUCUGCAAUUGGGAUAGCUAGCCCAUAUAUGGGUGAUUUAUGAUAGAAUAAUGUCCAUCACCAAUGUUUCUUUCUCACUUGCUUCAUUCACUGAAUUUGCACUUCUGCUUUUAGUGGUUCUUUUUUAACAAAUGCAAGUUUAAUAUGCUUCUCGCUAAGUGGUUUGUUUUUGAGAAUUCAGGAUGAUAUGAGUCAUGCAAAUUCCACCUCAAGGCAUCCUUCACGUCCAUCUAGUCGCAAUGCAUUUGAUGACGAUGUAGAUAAUUCUGAACCACAGUUUGCUCAGCUGCACAAUUUAACAUCUUCUGAUGCUUUGCGCUCUGUGGCAAAUAAACAAGGUGUUUCUGUGGUCCCAAAUGUUGGUGCGACAGCUUCUCAUAGCUAUGCUUCUGCUUUAGGUGCCUCUUUGUCACGAAGCACUACGCCUGAUCCUCACCUUGUAGCUAGAGCUCCUAGUCCUCGCAUUCCACCUAUUGGAGGAGGUAGGGCCAAUUCUAUUGAUAAAAGAGAUGUGAAUGGUUCAAACUCAUUUAAAGGUGUCUCAAGCUUGAAUGAAUCUGCUGAGCUAGUAGCUGCUUUGUCUGGAUUGAAUCUGUCAACGGUUGAUGAAGAGAAUCAUGCGCGGUCACACAGGCAACAUAACAUUGACGAUCACCAUAAUCUCUUCAAUUUACAAGGUGACCAAAACCACGUCAAGCAACAGUCAUUCUUGAAUAAGCCUGUUUCAUCUGCUAACUCUUAUUUAAAGGGUCCCUCAACACAAACUCUCAGUGGCAGAGGAGGUUCUCCUUCUGAACUCCAGAAUAUUGAUAACAUGAACUCGGCAUUUCCAAACUAUGGCUUGGGUGGGUAUCCUAUGAAUCCUUCAUCUCCAUCUAUGUUGGCAAGCCAACUUGGAAGUGGGAGUUUGCCACCGCUAUUUGAAAGUGCGGCUGCUGCAUCUGCAAUGGGAGGAACUGGAUUGGAUUCUAGAGCACUUGGUGCUUUAGGACCAAACUUAGUGGCUGCCGCAGCAGAAUUACAAAAUCUCAGUAGAGUUGGAAAUCAGAACACUAAUAAUGGCCUUCAGAUGCCCCUCAUGGACCCUUUAUAUCUUCAGUACAUGAGGUCAAAUGAGUAUGCUGCUGCACAGCUUGCAGCUCUCAAUGACCCUACUAUGGAUAGGGAGUACCUUGGUAAUUCAUACAUGGAUCUGCUCCAAAAAGCUUACUUAGGAGCUUUGCUUUCACCUCAAAAAUCACAAUAUGGUGUUCCUUAUCUUGGCAAUUCUGGCAGCAUGAAUCAUAACUACUAUGGUAAUCCAGCAUUUGGUCUUGGCAUGUCCUAUUCUGGAAGCCCAAUAGGGGGUCCCCUUCUUCCCAGUUCUCCUAUUGGAUCGGGCAGUCCUGUCAGGCACAGUGAAAGAAACAUGCGCUUUACUGCUGGGAUGAGGAAUUUGUCUGGUGGUGUCAUGGGAUCUUGGCACUCAGAAACUGGUGGUAACCUUGGCGAGGAUUUUCCUUCCUCUUUGCUUGAUGAGUUCAAAAGCAAUAAAACUAAAUGUUUUGAACUCUCAGAAAUUGCAGGUCAUGUUGUCGAGUUCAGGUAUACCUCACCUUGUCCCUCU